RNAcentral lists this ribosomal RNA (465 nucleotides) under uncultured Klebsiella sp. RNAcentral describes it as "bacterial SSU rRNA". It matches the Rfam family "Bacterial small subunit ribosomal RNA", at positions 338 to 795 of the family's 1533-position model. Lineage: Bacteria; Pseudomonadati; Pseudomonadota; Gammaproteobacteria; Enterobacterales; Enterobacteriaceae. The record is from RNAcentral.
CCUACGGGCGGCUGCAGUGGGGAAUAUUGCACAAUGGGCGCAAGCCUGAUGCAGCCAUGCCGCGUGUGUGAAGAAGGCCUUCGGGUUGUAAAGCACUUUCAGCGGGGAGGAAGGCGGUGAGGUUAAUAACCUCAUCGAUUGACGUUACCCGCAGAAGAAGCACCGGCUAACUCCGUGCCAGCAGCCGCGGUAAGACGGAGGGUGCAAGCGUUAAUCGGAAUUACUGGGCGUAAAGCGCACGCAGGCGGUCUGUCAAGUCGGAUGUGAAAUCCCCGGGCUCAACCUGGGAACUGCAUUCGAAACUGGCAGGCUAGAGUCUUGUAGAGGGGGGUAGAAUUCCAGGUGUAGCGGUGAAAUGCGUAGAGCUCUGGAGGAAUACCGGUGGCGAAGGCGGCCCCCUGGACAAAGACUGACGCUCAGGUGCGAAAGCGUGGGGAGCAAACAGGAUUAGAUACCCUAGUAGUC